UGUAAAUGUUCUCAAUGGUUUAUCAAACUGUUUACGUUUUAGAAAGUAUAGUUAUAUGUUAUGUUAAUUGAAGUUGUUACACCUUAUGACUAUUUUUAUACAUAAAAAAGGUACUGGCUCUUCAAUCCUAGAUUAUACAACACCAUAACCAAAGAUUUAGAUAUGGAACCCCACCAAAAUAAGGGGUAAAAGGAAGUGAUCCUAGAGUUGAGCCGUUCGUGCUCCACUAGUGGCACAUAAUCAUGUUGCACAAAAGUGUAUGAAUCUGUUAACGAAGAUUCUUGUGGAGAGUUGUCUCAUUGUCAAUCAUACCACAUCUUUUUUUUUUUAUUCCAAACAUAAGAUCAAAUAUGAAAUUGUUGCUUUUAUGCAAUCAAUUGUGAAACUGUUGCUUUUAUGCAAUCGAUCAAUUGUGAAACUGUUGCUUUUAUGCAAUCGAUCAAUUGUGAAACUGUUGCUUUUUGGCACAAAUCUCGGAGUUGAAACACAAUAAAAUAAGCAUCGUAUUUUUUGACAAAUAAUCAUCACAUAAGCUGUGGAAUCAAUCGACGACAUGGUAACCAAAGCUGCCACAUUGUCAUAGCUUUCCGCUGGAAGUAUGAUCCUUUGUUAAUCUUUUGUUUUAUAAACUUGUAUUCCAGAUCAUCACCACAACGUAGGUGAUAUGGACGGAAACAAAUUCCUUGAGGCACAUCUAUUCAUGUUACGCAAUUUCUUCCACUUUUUUUUUCAAAGGAUAGAUCUUUGAAAAAAAAACCAAUAAUCUAUGUCGUUCUUGUUAUAAAUUUCACAAAAUGUCAUGUUAUUCUGAGGUGCCUAUGUUAAGUAGAUAAUUUGAUAUUUAGAUAUUUAAGAAACCUGUAUCAUAUAGUUAUGCAUUAAUAUAGAAUAACAACAUUUAAUUUAUUAUAAUCUUGAAAGAUUCAAAGUUGUUAGUUUUUGGUUGUAUCUGUGAUUAUGCACGUGUUUGUACGUGCUUUGUUAAAUAUCAAUACAAGCAUAAUGGUCAUGUAAAUGAAUAAAUAACAGCCAUUGUAAAACAAGUUAAAUUAAAAUAUCAAAAACAAUGUGUUCAUAGAUUUAUUUUAAUGAAAGUAAAAGUGAUGGUAAGAGUAAUUAAAAGUUCUGUGAGUAUGACACGUUUGUAUGUCGUUACCAUCAACGGACUAGAAAUAUAAAAAUGACCGAAAGGAGACUUACGACUCAUAAGUCGAAGAAACAUUACAGGGCGUACAAAAAGAUAAAACCCAUCAGUCAAAACAUUUUACGGUAACAAUAUAAUUUCAAGAACUGAAAAGUCACUGACAAAAUAGAUGUUUUCAAUCAUGUCAGUACCAAGGCAUUGGCUGCUCUGAGGAUGUAUAUUUGUGAACUGAAAGUCCAUCAGCAACGAUACUAACUCAGCGGUUGUGAAAAAAAAUAAUUAUACAACAUGUGUUUCUUUUAAAAAUACACAGGUGAAAAAGUUUUUAAAAGCCAAAAUUAUAAAACAUUUCAAGACAUACAAACCAAACAAGAACAUUAAAACAGUCGAACACAGUCAGAGGGAGUUACAACCUUAUAUUUUGUACAAUAUCACAACAUGUAUUUUUUUAACUUGACGAUUUACAUCGGAAUGCACCGUUAAGGUCACGCUCGCCUUGUCACGUGACCUCAGUAACCAAGCACUAGCUACUCAUCGGAUUAUUACAAAAGUAAAUGAGAAAAUAAUAAUAUACAUAGAUAUAGAUAAAACAAAAACACUGAAGUAUUAACUAAUUUUCUUUCAAAUUGCCAGUUUAGAAUGAAUUUCAUAACAGUAUGGACAUGGACACCUGAUAUUUAAAUGAUAUCGUGUCGGUCACUGGCUGUCGACAACAAAGACUUCAUGCAAUUACAGUAUGUCGGGGCCUCUCAAUUGGGAUAUGAAUAAUUCCUUUUUUACACAUGUCCAUCCAUAAAACAAUUUUUUUUGCAUGAAAUUUUAUAGGAAUUUGUUUUGAAUAUAUUUAUAUUCUCACAGCAAAAAGUGUCUAUUGAAAGAAUGAAUAUAUUCUGAAGUGAUAUCACAAAGUAACCGAGAGAAAAAAAAGUAAGAAACAUUCUUUUCUGGCAAUAAGUGGAAAAUUUAGUAGUGUGUCAGUCAUAGACAAGUAGUCCAUUGCAAAUCAUUCAGUGGAUAGGUCAAUCGCCAAAAUAAAAAAAAAUGCUUUAUUUUUAAAGAAACACUAAUACAUAAAUUGACGGGGGCAUAAGUAUGAUAAAUAAUACAUGUUCGUACAAGGAAAUGGUACCGACCUGUUGAAUGCAGCUGUUCUGUUGAUUUGAAAAAACGAAUGGACGGAUCACACCGAUUUGAUUAAGAAUUGUACUUAUCUUUUUUAUUUGUGUUACAGUAUCUAUCCAUGAAUUUAAUAUGUUCACAAUUCCUUUUAUACUAGAAUAUUAAACGAGUGCACCCAGUGUAAAGGUUAUUAUAACACUGUUACUGUUUAACAGUAACUGUUAUGUUGACAUAAUAACCUGUACAUUAUCUCGUGUUACAGUCGACCAGUUUAGUCUUGUGCACAUGAUUUAUUAUUCCAAAACAGAUUUAUUGUGAACAUAUCAUUAAAUUCAUGGAUAUAUAUUGAAACAGAAACCGAAAAAUAAGUGACAACAAUUUCAAAUUGUAAGGGGGCGAUCAUUCCUAAUUAAUUUAAAAUAAGGGAAGGGUGGCUAUGUGAGAGGCUUUCGAAAUCAUCAUGAAUAAAAUUACAAAUGAACAUUUAUGCAGAAUUGUCACAAAUACGCGUCCUCAAGUAACAACAACAAAAAAACGAGUAAGACCUGGCAGAUUCAUUGGAAUUAUUACCUGCUUAAUUUGUAGUAAAAGAAUAUAAAUCCCGUAACUUUUGUUAUACGUGUUCAGGCAUAACAAAAUCUAAAAUAAACACAUGUAUCAAUGUUUCCACCAAAGCUACUCUGACUCCAAUCAACGUAAAUUUUGCCCACAAGACUGGAUAUAUGCUUCUUGAUAUUUUCACGAGUUAUUGUUUGUUAGAAUGAUGUUUAAAUGUUCACGAAAAUCUGAUCGUUGAAGUCUACGACGGGAAUUCAAAUUUGUUCCGUGCAGCCCGGAGGACUAAAAUAAUUUUUGAUGAAGGUCCGGGGUUCUUAUUACCAACACAAAUAAUCUUAGUAUGAAAGUUGAUCGUAGAUUACUCUACAUUAACUCGUACGAAUAAAUGUUUUCUCAUUUUUUUAAGGAGCCACAGAUCGUUUUUGAAAGAAAAAACUACGUUUUUUCUCUAGAUUACUUGGUGAUAUCACCUCUGAAUAUACUCAUUCUAGCAAAAGAAACUUUUUGUAGUGAGUAUAUAAAUAUAUUAAAACAAAUUCCUAUAAACUUUAAUGCAAAAACUUUUAUUUUAUGAAUGAUCAUGUGUAAAGAUAGUAAUAAGUUAUAUCCCUAUUGACAGGCCCCUGACAUACUGUAAUUGCGUAAAGUCUUUGUUGUCGACAGCCAGACUGAGUGAUACACACGAUAACAUUUAAUAACUGUGUCCAUGUCCACGCUGUUAUAUAUCAAUAUCGAUGAGAAAAUGGCGGCAGGAGUAGGAGUCAUGAAAAAUUGUGCAGAGACUAAAAGUAUUAUCAUGAAGUUAUAAGUGGUUUUAUAGCACAAUGAUUAGUUAUUUUGUGAGAACAUUAAUCGAACUGAUGAUCUAACUACAUUAUGAAGAAUUUUAUCGGGUAUGAAUAAUAAUAAACGAAAAACAACAGAAACUCCUUCUCCAAACACUUAUCUGGACUGAAUGUUUUAUUAUCUUAAUGUAUGUGGUUUACAGUCUAAACUAAAUUUACUGAAUUUUCAAAUAUCUUUCAAACAUAUGAUGUAUUAGUUUUUGUUGAAACUAAAUUAGAUGAUUUAGAUAAAAUUGAUCUUAAUGUAUUUCAUAUGUAACAAAGAAUAGAAAAGGUGCAACUAUAUAAAGUCAGGUGGAAUAGUAAUUAUAUACAAAAAUAUUUUGAAUCAGUACAUCAGUUUUAUAGAACGUGAAAGUCAAUAUGUACAGUGGUUUAAAUUUCAAAAAUGUCUUCUAAACUGAAAAAGAUGUCUUAUUUGGUGCUGUUUAUAUACCACCGGAAAAUUCCAAAUAUGCAAAUACUGAUGCAUUUGAAGAAAUUGAAAAUGAAUUAUUGACAUUUGCUGAUACAUUUAAUUCAUUUGUCUCUCUUAUUGGAGAUUUUAAUGCAAAAACGGAAACACGAGAUGAUUUUAUUGUGCCUGAUGAGUCAUUGAUUGGUAUUUUUGAGUUAGAAAGUGAUGAUGAAAUUUUAUCAUAUAUGUUAGAUUAUGAACAAUUGAAGCUUCAAAAUAUACCGUUAUCUCGAAUAUCAGAGUGUCAUUGUCAUAUUUAUAAUUAUGGNNNNNNNNNNNNNNNNNNNNNNNNNCCUAUUUGAUUUUAUGGCGCCCAUAGAACAUAAUUUAGUUUGUACGUGACGUCAUAACGUUUUUUAUGUUCUACGUUUAAUGGAAUUGUGAAUAAAGGUUUAAAAUGAAUUAGUACUUAAAAUACUUAUUUCUGUCUCUUCAAAUAACAUAAAAAAUGUGUGCUGCUAAUGCGACUGCGGUAUUUCGCAGUUGCACCAUUUUUCAUGUUAGUUUCUUAUAGACAGUGAAAAAUUACAGUAUUCCUAAUGCUAUAGAUUAGUAACAUAAGUAUACAGGAAUCUAAUAAUUUUGAUAUUAAUUAUUGCAACCUGAUUAAAAUAGGAUUUUUUGCUUAGUACGAGAUCGAAAUGUAUAAUCAGGAAAGUUGAAAUUAUUAACAGAGAAAAAUAUGGUAUGGGCGGCAUUAGCUUUGAGUAUGUAUAGAGACAAUUAUAUAAUACUGCACUUAACUUUAUUGUUUUGUUUAGAUAGAUCGUACUGAAACACAAUUUUAACAUACUUGUUUGAUCCGUCGCAAUUUAUUGUCCAAAAGAAACGAUGUUUGAUAUAUAGGUUAGUCAAUUAUGAAAUAUUUACUUGCAUAUGUAACAUCUUUAACUAACUUGAAAAGUGUGAAAUGGAAUAAAAUUGUUUAAUCUAUAUUUUAGACUGCUACAUCAUGCAAGUCUAAUGAUUACAACUAAAGGGGGUCGUUAAUGCAGCAUAUGACAACAUGGAAUUCACGUCGCAGAUGAAGCUUACGGUAAAUUACGAGUUUGUAUAUUUAUGUUCAAUACCACUUGAUGUGUAUUCAGAAAUUUAAGUUCUCUAAUAUAAAUGAAACAAUAUCGUUUUGCUUUAAGCAAUAAUUUCAAAUGAUAAGAAAAGUAAAUAUUUUUUUGUCUUGUUAACGUACGUCAAUUAUGCAAAAAGGUUGUGUACCUUUAAAUCGAAAAUAUGGUUUUUAAUGGUUAAAUAAAUGCAAAAUGACAAAUCUAUAUAUUUUAUUAUGUUGAUUUUCGUAUUCAGAAAAGAUGUCUGAAGCCAAAUACCAAGGAGUGAGCCGAACAGUUGGCAGACAGCUAGAAGGUAUAAGAGAGGGUGAUCUUUAGCUUGGAUCUCAACCAGAACUCAGUCAUCAUCUCAACGAUGACGAAUACGUCACAACCAAGCCUUUGUCCCUCCAUAUUCAUCACAAGAACAUUACUUACUAGAUAGAUAUAGAUCAAAGAGUGAGGCAUUAAGAAAAGAAUGAACAUGAAUUGAAACAUGCAAAGGCAAUAUAAAUGCAGAAGCAAGUGUAUACGGAUCUAUAUAAGAAUAAAAGGAAAAACAAAGUAUUCAAUUAACUCGACAGUGAAGUAAGAAACUGCAUCAACACUAGAAGAACAGAUCCCUCAAGAAAGGAUGGACAUACAAAGCCAACUAUUAACAAAACAUGAGAUUAAGAUAGACCGAACUUCAAGUUCAACUGAACUUUUUCCCCAAAAAAAUCGAAGCAGUAUAUAAAAUAAGACCAGACUAUCCUGCAUUUAACCCUUAAAAAAACAAACGCCGAACUGCUCGAAUGAUUUAAGGAUAUAUAGAAGGACAUAUACAAAAAAAUACCAUGUUAAAUAUAUUGUUCAUGUCAGACUGUUUGCUGAUGAUACCCUGGGGAGUUUCACCAACCGCAAGUAAAACAGUUUCACCAUAAGCGAUUUCCCUUGCCGAAUCAUUUACUUCAUGUUACAUUUAAAAAAGAAGAAAGGAUAACAUUAUAAGCAGAUGGUUUUUAAUAAAUAUUCGUUGUGUCAAAUGUUAUCGUGAACAUUAAGAAUGAAACAAUAGGACACAUGAAGUAGGGAAGAACAUCGAAAUGGUUCCGUUCUUUGAGCUUUGACAUCAGGGAUUACUUAAUCAGUCCUUUAAUUUUGAUGGUAGUUGUUAAUUUUGUUUCAGAUAUAAGUUUCCAAAGAAAUGAAAAGACAAUAUUACAAACACAUGUUACUAUAAAUAAUGUAUACAAGAAAAAAAACAGAAUAGUCAUGUGUUUCUUAAAUAUAUUGCCAUGUCUCGAUAUUGAAGAGUUAUUUAAACCAGAUCAGUUAUUUCUACCAAGCUAAUAUCAACAAUCAAUCCAGAAUACUACGGCAAGGUUGUUAUGUAUAUAAAUGUCAGCUAUCAGUAUAUUCAAUAUCGGGAAAAAUUCUGGAAUUUCUGUUUUAUAAUCACUUAAGUGGUCAAACCUUUUCGAAAAUUAUAGAAUAUGGGCAGAAGUUUGUAAUGACAAUAUUUAGAAAUAAGCUCAAAUAUAAUAAUGAUUGAUGUUGCACAACAGGUGUUGAUUAGAUAUUGCGUUGUUCCUUUGAAAAACGAAAUAGCUUACAUAUUGUAAACACAUUUUUGUGUUCAUUUAUUCUAUUUCUGGAAUUAAUUAUUGUUUAUUGCAUCGUCUAUUCAUUUCAGGGUAUUCAAAAUGUGUGUGAACCCAUGGGAGAAGAUACAGGUAAGUAUUAUAUACAUAUGCAGUCGAGUCAAGAAAAGUGUACUGGUGUUGACAGCUUUAACCAACCGAAUAUGAUAUUUUUUUUAAAAUUCAACUUUAUCUCUAUUGUUAAAAAAUAUUUGCAAUUGUUUGCUUUCAAUGUCUACUACGUUGUAAUUGAUCACAUUCCAUAUAGUUAAAUAAAAUCGAUUUCAAUAGUCCAUAUUAAUGAUUUACAAUUUAGUUCAGACUGAAGUCAUGAUGAUUUGGACAACACUUUAAAUGUUCAUCUGAUACAAAGCCAGAACCUGAUGCAAAGAGUAUAAAUGUGUUAUCUAGACCUUUUGUCAAGAUAUACUUACUUCCGAAAGUGGUGAGAAAUGUUAUGCCCCAAUAUUAUGGAUUAUUUUUCUUGGUCGUCGUCGUAUCUCGUUUCGUCUGUCCCGCUUCAGUUAAAGUUUGGUUGAAGUUUUUGUCGAGGUAUUUUUGGAUGAAGUUGGAAGUCGAUCAACUUGAACUUAGUACAGGCAUGUUCUAAUAAACCUUUCUAAGUUAAUUGCCAAAUUAGAGAUUUCCUGGGUCACUGAAACAUCCGAAAAUGGGUAGUGAGGAUGGGCAUCCGUGUAUUGUGGACAACAUUCUUUGUUUUAUUUUUAAUUUUUGAUGACAGUCGGGAAAUUUGGAAAAGGAGACAAUAUGCUCCAUGGAGUUAGUUCAACGGGAACACGCGUUAAGUAUUGAUAUUAUGCAAAAUUCUCUCAUCAUUUACAAAAGACAAAUCGUAAGAUAUGGUUUCUUCUGCUGUGAAGACUCAUAUGUUGGCUCAUGGCAUCUUAUGUUCUUGUUGUCUCUUUUAAAUAUUCCCGAUCUAUUUCAGCUAUUCGGUAUUUUCAAGAACUUACCAUGUAUGAUCUGUUCACAUAUAUAUCGAAUCCAUUCUAGAUUUGUUUUUAUGAAAAAAGAUAUAUCUGAAACAUGUAUUUAGAUAUAAUUUCUUGUUUUUACAAAUACACCUUGAUAAAAGUUACUUUACAUUUGUUAGCCUUUGAAUAAGAGAACAGAUCGAAACAUAUAUCACGAACUUUGAAUUCUCAUAUGCUAUCAAACUUAUGGUUUCAAGAUUUACAUGUGCGGACUUCAAGAAUAAAUGUUAGAAAUAACAGUCUGGGAUUAUGACAGAUUUAAACGACAUGAUUCCUUGGGAGAAGUCAUCAGUGUGACUUGUCAGGUAUGGUGUUGUCAUUAUCAUCUGACUUUUUUAACAUCUUGAAACAAUUAUUUCUUUGUUAUUACUGUGUUAAAGAGUAUAAUUUGAAUAGUCGACAAGUGUUGAUUAUUUCAUUUUCAGUUUUAUUUAACCAAAGUACGUUAAAAGAUCAAUGUGUGCAUUAAACAUGCUGAAGGAACAGAGAUUAAGAAACACAUUAUAAAAGUGAAAUUUCCUUCUAUUGUUAGUCAAUGUGUGUAAUGUGAUAAUAUGGCAAGUUAGGGUAUCUUUUACAGAGAACAUGACGUCACAACAUGGUGUGGAGAUUACCUAAGCCUACACUUUACCAGCUGAAUACGUGGGUGCAUCAGACAUGAAGACUGUGUCCAUACCCACCUGUAGUGUAAUUCUCAGGGAUCACCAAACCAAUCGUCAGAAGGUAGAAGCGUGUGACAAUGUAUAAAUUGUGGACUAUCAAAUGUCAGAUAGAUUUUUCAAAUUUUUUGACUCAGUGAUUUAUGCAAGUAAAUAAAUAUGAUAAGAAAGUGCCAGUAUUUUCUAAGAAUUAGUAUAUUUAAGUCAAUUCACUUCAUUCAUUCUAUUUUGUGACACAUAACAAUAAUAAUCAAUUUGCGCUUAUGAACCAAUAACUAAAUUCAAAUAUCUAAUUUUAUGGAUACGAAAUAAUUAUUGUAAACAAUUAAACUUAUUCUUCAGUGAAAUCAUGAAUAAAGAAACGGCAAUAAUUAGGAUGACAAAAAAAAAAAAAUGAUGAAUACAUGGUACCCCGUAAUAUACUGUACUAGUACUAACGUAAUCAGUAAAUUGUUUUUCUAGUUGCCGACAAACAAGAGUGAAGGAAUGGGGCGACGUCGACGUUCGUUAGGGACACUGACUGAUACGGAUCGUAUGUAUAUAGUGCACAAGCUGCUUACAUGCUUACAUCCCUUGGCUUAAUGCUUAGCUUAUGUCAUACUUCAUGCUACGUUUAAAAUCAUCUCGCAAUAUUUAGGUCAUGUAAAAUAUUUUUCAGGUUCCCAACUGAUACUGAUUUUUUUUAUUAUAAUUGAUGAAUGAGGGGGUCAAUGAUAACUUCACCUGGUAUUUUUAUUCCACUAUAUAUUUUUAUUGCUGAAGAAUAAGGAUAGAGUGAAACAGUCGUAAAAGUCAAAGACGGACAUACAACACAACAAAUAAAAAUACAAGACACAAAAGACAAACAGUAGAAUUUAUAAACAAAACGUUGAUGUUAGAUACUUUUUAGAAUAUGUUAAAAAUUUGGAUUUAACAUUUUCUACCACGGACUUCAACGUUGUUAAAAUAGAUUUUGUUUUGUAUAUCUGAAGUUUGUAGGCAGUCGUUAUCCCUUUUGAGCGUAUCAGUAUAAUGUAUUUGACGACCAACAAAGGCAAAUUAAUCCCUAAAGAGUUGCAAAUACUUCAAAUUCUGUUGGAUUUGUCGUUCUUUGAUUGAUCUGUCAAAUAUCAAUUAGUAGAAUUUAUUACAAUUUUGAAAGUAUUUUCUUUUGCAAAUAGAAAUAAAAGGAAACUUAAAAUACAGAGCUGAUUUUAAUUUGAUAUUGAGACGGUAUCUAAGAGACUAUUUGUCAUGGCCUUUAAAAAAAAGUUAAAUCGCAAAUAUACCGAACUCUUAGAAAAAUUCAAAACGGAAAGUCCCUAAUCAAUUGUCAAAAUCAAAAACUCAAACGAAUGGACAACAACUGUCAUAUUUAUGACUUUGUAUAGACAUUAUCUUAUGUAGGAAAUGGUGGAUUAAACCUUGUUUUAUAGCUAGCUAAACCUCUCACUUUAAGUUAUUGUAAUUAAUAUUAUUUAAUGAAAACUAAGAAUGUUUGUUUUACCAAAUUAUGAAAAUUCCAAAUUGUACAUUCAGUAGUAUACAUAAGUAAACUUCAUUGUUUUAUCUAUACUUCUACUCAUUACUAAUAUAUGAUAUUACAUGUCAGCUUUAUAACUGAAACUGUGCACUGCAUUUAAACGUAUAAUCUGUUACUUAUUGUACAAUUGACCGUUUCAGAAUCUAUAGGUCUAUUGGUAGCUUUCAUUGUUCACAAAAUUGACACCAAAAUGAAAAUAACGCCAUGGAUUUGGUUGAAUUUCAAUUGUUUAUUACUUUUUAACCAAUCACGACGUUUUGGUGUACGCUUUUGAAAUUUUUCAUGAAUGCAUUAGAUUCUGAAACGGCGUAUUAGGCUUAAUGUACAAACUGUACAAAGCAUACAUUUACUUCCUCUCUAUAGGUCUUUCUGCCUCUGACUCCACAGACGUAUCUUCUGCACAUUCUUCACCUCUUCUACGACACAACUCAAAUGACAUGCCACUUACUGCGGCACUUACUACGUCACAUCCUGGUAACGUAACCCAUUGUUUCAGUGGUGUGUCGCACGUCAUGUUCUUAGCACGCCAUUUCAUCCAGAGAAUUCGUUCUACUCGCAUUUCCCGUCGGCUUACUUUCAAGAAAAAAAAUGAUGAAAGGUUAUUGUUAAAUGACUGUUGUUUUGAUUUGCCGUUCUCUAUAAUUUCUAUUAUUUAAAGAUUUUUUCAUCUUUCUGCUUGAAUCAUAUAUUAUGAAUUAUUUGUGAAUCAAUUUCUUUUCUUUAAAGCCGUAUGAAAUUAUAUUUUAAAGAUUUCGAAAUCUUUCAGUCUUUUUUCUUGAAUGAUAUAAAUAUAGAAUCCUGAUGACAUUUUAUUUAGUAGUUUGUUAAGCAUGAAAUUUGUAGGACGUUUUGUAUCCAGUAUUGUUUUCAUAUUUAUUUAAUAUAUAAGCAAUUGAUUUCUUUUAGACUAGAACACUUGUUGAAAGGAUGAUAACACGAACAACAGCAUGCCAUAUAUAACUUUGUAAAAAUCCUUGUCAACAUGAUUAGUAACAUUAGUAUAUUCAUGUUUUUGAAUGUUUGCAUGUAUGUGUAAUUGAGAUCAAAUGCAUAUAUUUUAAUAAAGCCAAAAUGCAUAUAUUUUAAUUACGCCAAAAUGCAUUUAUAUUAAUUAAGCCUAAAGGCAUAUAUUUUAAUUAAGCCAAAAUGCAAAAGUUUAUUUGGUGAUAAAACAGUUGAUAUUGCAAAUAGUUGUAAAUGAUAUAAAAACAUUCAGUUUAAAGAAAAGUAGAUGUGGGUUGAUUGUCAAUGGGACAACUAUCAACCCAAGUUUAUAUUAAGUGCAUGUAAGCAAUUAUAAGCAACCUUUGUCAAUUUUAUUUUUCUAAACAGAACUGAAAUAUAUCAAUAAGAAAGUAACUACACAUUUAAUUUAGAGAACAAUUGAAUUAUAUUAAAAAUAAUAAUAGAAUUAAUGUAGCAUAAAAUUUUUGAGAUAUAUGAAAAGUUAUAAACGAUACUACACCCAUAAUCAUAUAAUGUUAUUUUUAUAUUUUUUAUGUACAUCAUAAACACAUUUUAAGUUUGAUAGAACUAUUUAACAAGAGUAUUUAACGCUUUGAAGUUGUCGACAUUUAUAUUCGGAAAUAGUUUUUAAAAUAGUUGGGUAACAUAUACUCUCAAAUCACUGUCCUUAACAUUGGAUCAAUUGAAUACUUUAUUUUGUAUAUCCUUUAGAAAAACUGUGUUUUCUGUCUGUGGGAAUAAGACACAAUGCAAUUAAUGGUCACCUUUUGUGUGUGCAUUUUAUAACGAUCACACUGUAUAGGAAGUAAAACAAAUGCUAACUUAUGAAAUAUGAAAUGAUUUUUAUUUUCGAUUACAAUUUACAAAUAGAACUACAAAUGCUUAAUUUUUUUAGGCUUAAAAACAUUUUUGUUCAGCAAAUUGUUCUAAAGACAGUACCGCUUUUGUUAAAUCAAAUCCUCCUACAGUUUUCAACCUAGACCCUUGUAUGUUCUGGGGUGUACUCAGGUGCCCCUUCAGGGUUAGCUAUUACUUCUCUAGUAGUGGCACUUAUCCUCCUCAUUGCAAAUUAAAAUGAAAAAUUGCAUUCGAUCACAAUCGAAAAAAAGAAAACGGGAGUGUUUUACGUCCAGUAUAUCAGUGGUUAUCUAUGACACAAAUGUUCCAAAAUGGUCAAUCAGAUCAUUAUGGCGUCCGUAAAACAUUCCAAGGAAUAAUUUGACUUUGCCAUUUCGAAGCCUAUGUGCAAAAGCCUUGUUAGAGGUUAUUAAAAAAUAUAUAAGAGGAUACGCAAGCUCAUACACAGAAAAUUUCAAUAGAAAAUUAAAAUGAUCUGUGUUGUCGUAAAGUUUAGUUUUCAUCCAACUCUUAUUGUCAAUUCUACAUGAUAGUCAAGAUAUGAAUCAAACGUAACUAUAUAUGUGGUAUCCUUUAUUUCAAAUUCAUCUUUGGUUGGUUAAAAUCCCAACGGAAAAUCAAACCAACCUAUUUCCACAUUAGUAAGUUUAGUUGUGGUGUAAGUUGGAUUUCACAGUGAAUUAUCAACACAUUAUUCAAAGAAAGAUUACAUUUGAAAUGUUUUUCAAAAAAAAAAAAGAAAGAAAAUUGUGAAAUUUUAUUCAAGGAAAACCAAAAUAAACAUUGUUUGUCAAAUUCAUUAAAACUUGACAAUAAAAAGAACAACAAAACUAUUGUACAUUGUACCACCUAAUUGCCUUUGCUUUUUUAUAAUUAUUACUGUAAUAACAUAAUCAUCUAAGUAAUAUUUUUUAAUAUAAAAUAUUAGCAUAACAAAAUGUACUAAUUGAUUAAUACUGUUCUCGUUUUAGGAGUAUGAACACAUACUGGAGAUAUCAGUCUUUCGACUAAGCAUCAGUUAUGGUAAGCAUAUGCAGAAAUGCUAAAUAUACGAUAAAAAACAUCUAUAAGUAGAUCUCGCUUACCCUGUCAACGCUACCGAUCUCGCUCCUUUUGGAGUUUAUUCGAUUUCCUCAGUUAAUGUUUGUUACCUUGAGUUGUCUUCUCAAUCGAUUGACGAUUAAUGAGAUUUGAACAUCGGUAAACUACUGUUACCUAUAUUAAAAGCUCUCCGAAAGUCCUUGAUAGUACAUUUUUGUUUUGUUGAUGGAGACGGGAUCGGUCAGGAAACCACCAAUAAAUCUCAGAUGGUCAAAUGCAUCAUGCCAUUUUGCUAUGGUUAUAGACAGUCUCAAGUCGUCAUUUUAGUACCGACUAACUGAAAUGUAUUGUACAUCUUCGUGUCCCAAUCGACCACUGAUGUCCUUUGUACCAUUUGAAAUGUUUUUUUUUCGAUGAUUUAGUGUUGCAAAGAGAACGCAAAAAAGGACGCCAGUCAAUAUUUUAUAAUUUGGUAGAAAAUAAUUCAACGAAUUCAAAUUGCAAAUGAUUGAAUUGAAGAUCGACAAAACAAAACACUGUUUCAUAGAUUCGUAUUUUUCAGUAUGUAUGUGUAGAUUUUGUAUGAUUGAAAAGGGAAAGUAAAUGAGAGAGCAACCAAAACGUACAUGUAUUAGACUUCGACAUAAAAUUCCAUGCUUAGUGCGUUAAAUGAAAAAUCAAAGUAUAUAACAGGAGGUGACUACACGGCAGAUCUGAAAACAAGAGCAUUGUCACCAUAUUGAUAUAAUGAUAUAUGGAUAUUGCAAAUAUAUAUAUAUUUUGUUAUGACAAACUUUUGCACCAAGAACGAUUUACAUAGAAAUGGGUAUAGCCGUUUUUUGUUGUAAUUUUAAAAUUAACAACGUUGUGACGUAGGUAUUUACUUACAUUUUUUAUUUCCAAAAUAUUUUCGUUAACUAUCAUUAACUUCAACUCUGUAUUAGGUUUUUUUUAAAACAAGAAUAAAAAAACACUUUUUACACAGAUAGUACUUUUGGAAGAAAAACAACUUUUGCAGCCCUCUAAAAGGAGAUAUUAUUUUGUACUGGAGAACGAAAAAGGUAAUCUUGACCUCUAAAUGUCGUUUUGUGAUGUGCGUUGCAUUGUUGCUGUUGCAUUGGCGUUUAAUGCACUUCUUAUUAUUAAUUUUUUUUUCUUUUCAGGUGCAUACACGAUAUUUUUAUCUGUGAUAUAGCUGAAAACUAUAAGCUGUUACACGUUCAUCUUUGUAUUUUGGGGAGACAUGUCUCUGGUGCCAAAGUAGUUUGAUUGUAGUCUCAAAAACUUGGUAGCUAAUUUUAUUGCCGCCAAAAUUCAAGAGAGACACAAAUUUUCAAAUCAUUUAUAAAAAUCAAGUUACAAUUUGUUAGUUAUAAGCAUCGACUUUGAUUCUAUAGCAUUUUUUUAUGUUUUGCUCUUUAACAGAACAUUUCUUUGAGUCAUGUUAACUGUUCAUAUACAUGGAUAUGAGUCUUAUUCGAUACUGCGAAUAUUAGAAAGUGUCAAAUGCUUCCUUUGCUUUUUUGACAUUCUACCGAUAUAAAUGUUCUCAAUGGUUUAUCAAACCGUUUACGUUUUAGAAAGCUUAGUUAUAUGUUAUGUUACUUGAAGUUGUUACACCUUUUGACUAUUUUUAUUCAUAUAAAAGGGUACUGGCUCUUCAAUCGUAUAUUAUACAACACCAUAACCAAAGAUAAAAACACAGUACACACUAAACUAAAGAUUUAGAAAUGGAACCCCACCAAAAUAAGGGGUAAAAGGAAGCGAUCCUGGAGUUGAGCCGUUCGUGCUCCACCACUUGCUCAUAAUCAUGUUGCACAAAAGUGUAUAAAUCUGUUAACAAAGAUUCUUGUGGAGUGUUGUCUAAUUGUCAAUCAUACCACAUCUUCUUUUUUUAUAUUCCAAACAUAAAAUCAAAUGUGAAAUUGUUGCUUUUAUGCAAUCAAAUGUGAAACUGUUGCUUUUUGGCACAAAUCUCGGAGUUGAAACACAAUAAAAUAAGCAUCGUAUUUUUUGACAAAUAAUCAUCACAUAAGCUGUGGAAUCAAUCGACAUGGUAACCAAAGCUGACGCAUUAUCAUAGCUUUCCACUGGAAGUAUGCUUCUUUGUUAAUCUUUUGUUUUAUAAACUUGUAUUCAAGAUCAUCACCACAACGUAGGUGAUAUGGACGGAAAACAUUUCCUUGAGGCAGAUCUAUUUACGUAACGUAAUUUCUUCCACUUUUUUCAAAGGAUCGAUCUUUGAAAAAAAAGAAUAAUCUAUGUCGUUCUUGUUAUAAAUUUCACAAAAUGUUAUGUUAUAAUUCUGAGGUGCC
This 15147-nucleotide long non-coding RNA is filed under the name Mytilus galloprovincialis (Mediterranean mussel). The record is from RNAcentral. Lineage: Eukaryota; Metazoa; Mollusca; Bivalvia; Mytilida; Mytilidae.